Molecule: ribosomal RNA, 406 nt
Filed under: uncultured bacterium
Lineage: Bacteria
Description: partial 16S ribosomal RNA
Rfam family: Bacterial small subunit ribosomal RNA
Source: RNAcentral
AUUGAACGCUGGCGGCAGGCCUAACACAUGCAAGUCGAGCGAGCGGCGGACGGGUGAGUAAUGUCUGGGAAACUGCCUGAUGGAGGGGGAUAACUACUGGAAAAGGUAGCUAAUACCGCAUACCAUCAGAUGUGCCCAGAUGGGAUUAGCUAGUAGGUGGGGUAACGGCUCACCUAGGCGACUAUCCCUAGCUGGUCUGAGAGGAUGAACAUCCACACGGGAACUGUGACACGGUCCAGACGCCUACGGGAGGCAGCAGUGGGGAAUAUUGCACAAUGGGCGCAAGCCUGAUGCAGCCAUUCCGCGUGUGUGAAGAAGGCCUUCGGGUUGUAAAGCACUUUCAGCGGGGAGGCGUUACCCGUAGAAGAAGCACCGGCUAACUCCGUGCCAGCAGCCGCGGUAAUUC